AGCGGCGGACGGGUGAGUAACGCGUGGGUAACCUGCCCUGUACACACGGACAACAUACCGAAAGGUAUGCUAAUACGAGAUAAUAUACUUUUAUCGCAUGGUAGAAGUACCAAAGCUCUGGCGGUACAGGAUGGACCCGCGUCUGAUUAGCUAGUUGGUAAGGUAACGGCUUACCAAGGCGACGAUCAGUAGCCGACCUGAGAGGGUGAUCGGCCACAUUGGAACUGAGACACGGUCCAAACUCCUACGGGAGGCAGCAGUGGGGAAUAUUGCACAAUGGGCGAAAGCCUGAUGCAGCAACGCCGCGUGAGCGAUGAAGGCCUUCGGGUCGUAAAGCUCUGUCCUCAAGGAAGAUAAUGACGGUACUUGAGGAGGAAGCCCCGGCUAACUACGUGCCAGCAGCCGCGGUAAUACGUAGGGGGCUAGCGUUAUCCGGAAUUACUGGGCGUAAAGGGUGCGUAGGUGGUUUCUUAAGUCAGAGGUGAAAGGCUACGGCUCAACCGUAGUAAGCCUUUGAAACUGGGAAACUUGAGUGCAGGAGAGGAGAGUGGAAUUCCUAGUGUAGCGGUGAAAUGCGUAGAUAUUAGGAGGAACACCAGUUGCGAAGGCGGCUCUCUGGACUGUAACUGACACUGAGGCACGAAAGCGUGGGGAGCAUACAGGAUUAGAUACCCUGGUAGUCCACGCCGUAAACGAUGAGUACUAGCUGU
Molecule: ribosomal RNA, 710 nt
Filed under: uncultured bacterium
Lineage: Bacteria
Description: bacterial SSU rRNA
Rfam family: Bacterial small subunit ribosomal RNA
Source: RNAcentral